UACGGGGGGGGCAAGCGUUGUUCGGAAUUACUGGGCGUAAAGGGCUCGUAGGCGGCCAACUAAGUCGGACGUGAAAUCCCUCGGCUCAACCGGGGAACUGCGUCCGAUACUGGAUGGCUUGAGUUCGGGAGAGGGAUGCGGAAUUCCAGGUGUAGCGGUGAAAUGCGUAGAUAUCUGGAGGAACACCGGUGGCGAAGGCGGCAUCCUGGACCGACACUGACGCUGAGUGAGCGAAAGCCAGGGGAGCAAACGGG
Molecule: ribosomal RNA, 254 nt
Filed under: uncultured bacterium
Lineage: Bacteria
Description: partial 16S ribosomal RNA
Rfam family: Bacterial small subunit ribosomal RNA
Source: RNAcentral